UACGUAGGGUGCGAGCGUUGUCCGGAAUUACUGGGCGUAAAGAGCUCGUAGGUGGUUUGUCGCGUUGUCCGUGAAAACUCACAGCUCAACUGUGGGCGUGCGGGCGAUACGGGCAGACUGGAGUACUGCAGGGGAGACUGGAAUUCCUGGUGUAGCGGUGGAAUGCGCAGAUAUCAGGAGGAACACCGGUGGCGAAGGCGGGGAUCCUGGCCGUAGGUCGAAGCUG
Molecule: ribosomal RNA, 226 nt
Filed under: uncultured bacterium
Lineage: Bacteria
Description: partial 16S ribosomal RNA
Rfam family: Bacterial small subunit ribosomal RNA
Source: RNAcentral